ACAUAAUUUUCUGUUUGUUCAUCUGUUGACCCAUCACUUCAAACUGCCAAUAUGUUUAAGAUGGGGUGAUUUAUCACCAAGGCUACAUAAAAUGCAAUCCCCCAAACAUCAGCCAUGCCCUUGGAAAAAUAGCUAAAACUUGAAGUUUCUGAAGCUGGCUACAUGAUUCUACUUGGGAGAAGAGGACCCUGAAAGCCAAGGGUCCCUGGCACUCAGAGAGUGGUCCAGAAGGAGGUGUGGCACAGAUUCCAGGUGGACACAUUCCCAUGGUAUGGCGACAAAUUGAUGAG
This 290-nucleotide long non-coding RNA is filed under the name Ictidomys tridecemlineatus (thirteen-lined ground squirrel). RNAcentral's name for it is "lncRNA (ENSSTOG00000033072.1)". Lineage: Eukaryota; Metazoa; Chordata; Mammalia; Rodentia; Sciuridae. The record is from RNAcentral.